RNAcentral lists this ribosomal RNA (755 nucleotides) under Alteromonas macleodii. Its description in RNAcentral is "bacterial SSU rRNA". It matches the Rfam family "Bacterial small subunit ribosomal RNA", at positions 76 to 833 of the family's 1533-position model. Lineage: Bacteria; Pseudomonadati; Pseudomonadota; Gammaproteobacteria; Alteromonadales; Alteromonadaceae. The record is from RNAcentral.
GCUUGCUAGAAGAUGACGAGUGGCGGACGGGUGAGUAAUGCUUGGGAACUUGCCUUUGCGAGGGGGAUAACAGUUGGAAACGACUGCUAAUACCGCAUAAUGUCUUCGGACCAAACGGGGCUUCGGCUCCGGCGCAAAGAGAGGCCCAAGUGAGAUUAGCUAGUUGGUAAGGUAACGGCUUACCAAGGCGACGAUCUCUAGCUGUUCUGAGAGGAAGAUCAGCCACACUGGGACUGAGACACGGCCCAGACUCCUACGGGAGGCAGCAGUGGGGAAUAUUGCACAAUGGGGGAAACCCUGAUGCAGCCAUGCCGCGUGUGUGAAGAAGGCCUUCGGGUUGUAAAGCACUUUCAGUUGUGAGGAAAAGUUAGUAGUUAAUACCUGCUAGCCGUGACGUUAACAACAGAAGAAGCACCGGCUAACUCCGUGCCAGCAGCCGCGGUAAUACGGAGGGUGCGAGCGUUAAUCGGAAUUACUGGGCGUAAAGCGCACGCAGGCGGUUUGUUAAGCUAGAUGUGAAAGCCCCGGGCUCAACCUGGGAUGGUCAUUUAGAACUGGCAGACUAGAGUCUUGGAGAGGGGAGUGGAAUUCCAGGUGUAGCGGUGAAAUGCGUAGAUAUCUGGAGGAACAUCAGUGGCGAAGGCGACUCCCUGGCCAAAGACUGACGCUCAUGUGCGAAAGUGUGGGUAGCGAACAGGAUUAGAUACCCUGGUAGUCCACACCGUAAACGCUGUCUACUAGCUGUGUGUGUCUUU